Molecule: ribosomal RNA, 253 nt
Filed under: uncultured bacterium
Lineage: Bacteria
Description: partial 16S ribosomal RNA
Rfam family: Bacterial small subunit ribosomal RNA
Source: RNAcentral
GACGUAGGAUGCAAGCGUUGUCCGGAUUUAUUGGGCGUAAAGAGUUCGUAGGUGGUUUAUUAAGUCUGGUGUUAAAGAUCGAGGCUCAACUUCGGGACUGCACUGGAUACUGAUAGACUGGAGUAUGGUAGAGGCAAGCGGAAUUCCCAGUGUAGCGGUGAAAUGCGUAGAUAUUGGGAAGAACACCGGUGGCGUAAGCGGCUUGCUGGACCAUAACUGACACUGAGGAACGAAAGCCAGGGGAGCAAAUGGG